Molecule: ribosomal RNA, 585 nt
Filed under: uncultured microorganism
Description: bacterial SSU rRNA
Rfam family: Bacterial small subunit ribosomal RNA
Source: RNAcentral
AAACGACUGCUAAUACCGCAUAAUGUCUACGGACCAAAGUGGGGGACCUUCGGGCCUCACGCCAAAAGAUUAGCCCAAGUGGGAUUAGCUAGUUGGUAAGGUAAUGGCUUACCAAGGCAACGAUCCCUAGCUGGUUUGAGAGGAUGAUCAGCCACACUGGGACUGAGACACGGCCCAGACUCCUACGGGAGGCAGCAGUGGGGAAUAUUGCACAAUGGGCGCAAGCCUGAUGCAGCCAUGCCGCGUGUGUGAAGAAGGCCUUCGGGUUGUAAAGCACUUUCAGUAAGGAGGAAAGGGUANUCUUUAAUAGAGGNUAUCUGUGACGUUACUUACAGAAGAAGCACCGGCUAACUCCGUGCCAGCAGCCGCGGUAAUACGGAGGGUGCGAGCGUUAAUCGGAAUUACUGGGCGUAAAGCGUACGCAGGCGGUUUGUUAAGCGAGAUGUGAAAGCCCCGGGCUCAACCUGGGAACUGCAUUUCGAACUGGCAAACUAGAGUGUGAUAGAGGGUGGUAGAAUUUCAGGUGUAGCGGUGAAAUGCGUAGAGAUCUGAAGGAAUACCGAUGGCGAAGGCAGCCACCUGGGU